This 19451-nucleotide long non-coding RNA is filed under the name Musa acuminata (dwarf banana). RNAcentral's name for it is "long non-coding RNA (MACU_LNC006445)". Lineage: Eukaryota; Viridiplantae; Streptophyta; Magnoliopsida; Zingiberales; Musaceae. The record is from RNAcentral.
AAAAUGUUUUGUGAAAAACAAAUGCUUUGUGGUACUAGCUUCUCUAACUUGAAGUGCUUUAUCACAUGUUUAUUAAUACUGUCUUUGAAUGAAGCAUAUCGAUCUGAUCAAUUUGAUCAGUUAACCAUAAUUAUUGUUUAACGUUAAAGUCUUUUUCCCUGUAAAAGGGUAGGUCUAAGUAUCACAUUCAUUGUAUAGCAAAGUAUUUACCUUCCAUUCAUGGGCAUACAAAGCAAAUUGUGAGACUCUAUUGUAUAACUAUCUCUUUUAUUAAAGCUUUGCUGCCAUCUUCCCUCAUCUCUGUUGAUUGCUACAUAGAUCUAAUAUACCUUUUCUAAAAUUUUGCAGGUCAUAUCCUUUCGACAAAGGCACUAAUUCAUCUUAUUGAUAUCAUUUUACUUGAUGAUAUAUGCAUGCAAUGUUCAGUUCCUCUGUUGUGCAUCUAUGUUAAAAUGCACAGAUCUCUUUGGUGGCAUCUUUCUCUCUAUUCACUUCAUUUGUACACUUUUUAUUUUGCAUGCAUAAUUUCGCCAUAAGUUGAACCUUGACAUUAUCUACAUGUGCUUGUAUGUAUAAGGCGGGAAGUAAAAUGUUUUAUUGAUCUCACUGCUGAUGUGGUUUGUGACUUAUGGCCUACUGCCAAGGAAGUCGGUGGUUGUCUUGAGCGUCAUCAUGAAGCAUCUUCACUGACAUUUGCUAUUCAAGUAAGAUUAUUAGAAUUUAUUUUGGUCACUGUUUUAUGUUAUGUAAUUUCACUAUAUCUAAUUAAUGAAUGAUUCAAUUAUUGCUACCUGCCUUUAUUUUUUUGUAGAAUAAUCUCAAGAAUAUAGUGCUGUGUGGAUAAUCUCUUCACUGGUUGAUUUAAUCUGUCUUUGGUUGAAGAUCCCAAUGAUUAACCUGUUUUGAGUAGCUGUGCAUAGGUGAUCAAGUUCUGGCAUGCUUAGCUUGAUUACCAUGUCAGCAACCCGAUUUGACCUUUUUGAAUGAUAUGGUUAUGGUUAAUUCAUCAACCACUACAUGAUUGUUUCAUUACUUCUAGUUGGAUUGUCGAAUGGUUCAAUUCUAUUUAAGUUCAGGUUCUUAUAUUUGAAACUGAUGUGCUUGUUGGUAGGGUUGAAUGGGUUGAUCUGUGGUAUCUUAAACUUUUGAACCUGGUGAACCCUAUCCCACCAAUUUCAUUCUGAGCUUGAGAGUCCGGUUCAUGGGUCAUGUUACUGUUUAGCAUCGAGUCAAAAGUUGCUCUUGGCCUCAGCACCUGUCUUGUACGAAGAACAAGAUUGCAAUGGAACCCUCAGCAUCUUAGAGAAAAGUACCUUCAAUUAGCCUUGCUGAAGACUGACCUGUCUUUGUGAAAUGCAUGAGGCAUUGAAAUUUGAGUUUUUCAUAUGACAAAUAACUUAGUUGUCUGUCAAAUUUAUUCUUGUUUGCGUCCUUUUGGAAUUGCCAUUAAGGUAUGUACUGGCAAUGCCCCCUUUGAUUCAUGUUCCUCUGCUGUCUUGCUAUGUAGGAAGUCUUUAACUGUUAAUUUGACUCGAAUCGCUUAGGUGUCUUGAUAUGUAUGAACCAUUGAAUUAUGUUUGGUACAUAAAAAAGGGAAUGUUCCAUAUAGCUGAUAUAGAGAUGACAUUAUUUGAUGUUCCAUAUAACUGACGAUAAUCUAUGGUUGGCGUUUGUAUUCCCUUGCUAAGUUCCAAGGCAUCCUUUUGUUGACUAUCCAGGAUGAACCUCAGGCUGGGCAGACAGUUCCUCAUGUGCACAUUUUCAUUCUACCUAGGAAAAAGGGAGAUUUCGAGAAAAAUGAUGAGAUCCAUUAUGCCGUAAGUGAUAGUCUUAUUUUAAUAUGAAAAGAUUAUUUCAGUGAAUGUUGUACUAAAUUAUCUUCUUAUUGGUCUGCUAUUAGAUUGAUUUGAAAGAGAAGGAACUCAAGGAGAAGCUCGACUUGGACAGAGAAAGGAGGGACAGAACACCAGAGGAAAUGGACCUAGAGGCCGAUGAGUAUCGAGCUCUAUUCUCAUAGAUAAUGUACCUACCAUGUUCAAUCUUCUACACUACAAUGCAUAUAAAACAUUGAGUCAGGCUGACUGCUGCUUUGAGCUUAAGAAUUCUCUAGUGUUUAUUCCUUUUGUGAUUCGCAUGGUUGUUUGCUGCUUUCAAUUGUCCAUGCUACUCCCUCUGCAUGAUGGAUCUCAUCUUCACCGACUUCUGAAAAAUCAAUGAAGGUAUUUCAUAUUUUUUUUGUCUAGCAUCGCUAUAUAAAGAAUUUGUCUUUUCCAUGGAUAUAGGUAGGGAUUUGACUUACUUUUACGUUGGUUAUUUUUUAUGCUUUUGGUUGUUGAUCUCUAUAUAUUUUGAUUUUGAAAGUUUUCUUUUCCUUCUUUGCAAGUGGUAUCAGAGUCCAAAAACCUAGUGGUCAAAAAUUCAAGAAGCAUAAGUGAAGGAGAAUGAAGUAAAAAUAUCCCUUGAUAAAAUACUCAUCAAAGGAGAGAGAGAUUGUUCAAAUUAACAAGUAUUUUGAGAUUUCUAAAAUUAGUAUUCAGGUAGUAUAAUGAAUCAUAGUAUAAAAAGGUGUUAUCAUGAGAAAAAAAAUCUUGAUAAGUAGGGUUUGAUUUUUCUAUAAAUAUCUCAUGUAUUUUUAGGUUUUGAUGGGGGAAAGACAAGAUGUGAGAAAUAUUUUUGGUAUUCCUAGACACAAAAAAAUUUAUGUUUCAGUGGGGAUAACAUAAGGUCUUAUAAUUGAAGAUGAAAAUUUUAAGUUUUUUUAAAAAAUAUAGAUAAAAAUGUAUAUAAUCAUAUGAAUCUUAAAUUAUUUUUUUAAUAUUUUUUAUUGUUCAUCUCUUUAGAUUUUUUAUUUUUAUUUUAAAAAUCUUCUCUCCCUCCCAAAAUAAAAAAAAUUUGGAUCAUCAAUUCUUUUAACCAUCCCUUCAAUCUUUUGUCCCCUGCAUCAUCGAUUGUUGAUUGUUCAUUAUUAUUAUAUUUUAUUCUCCCACUUUUAUUCUUAUAUUUUUUAAGUUUUUAUGUUUGAUUUUUUAUCAUCAUUUAUGAAGUCAUUUUAUUUUAGCAUAUUUUCAUUCUUUUAUCAUCUUACAUGAGACAUUGUCAGCCCGUUUUUCUAUCAUCCAACUCAUGUUCAUCGGAGCUCUCUGUAGCUUUCUCAUAAUAGAUUUUUGUUGUCUGAUUUAGAAUCAAUUGAAGUGUAUUUCAAAAUUCAACACAGGUUGAGAUGUUAGUGUUUGGGUGAUUCAAGCUGAAACCUUAAUCUACGUAGGGAUAUACCCGAUAAAAAGCCUCUGUAAUGCUUAACUUAGUGUGGAUUCAAAGAAUUUUAAUGGAAAAGAUGAUUAAUAAAAGUAAGAGCCUCUCAAUGAACAUAAUUGACCAUUAUAUAGAAAUCAUGACAAAUGUGAGAGAAGAGUUGCUUAAAUCGAAUCGAAAAGCUGAAUUGAACCGAAACCGAACGUGAACCAAAUCGGUUCGAUCCAAAUCGAUUCAUCAAUGAUUUGGUUCAGGUAGCUUCUUUGGUUGGGUUAAUCGAUUCAAACUGAAUUGAAUCGAUUUUAAUUAUACAUAUAUAUAUAUAUAUAUAUAUAUUAUAAAUUUGAAAUAUAUAUAUAUUAUAAAUUAUUUGAAUAUAUAUAUAUAUAUAUAUUAUAAAUUAUUUAAAAUUAGAAAUUAGUUAACCGGUUAGUCAAACAUGAUGAAUCGGUUUCGAAUCAAUUCGAUUAGGUAAUUCUGAAAAAAUGAUUCAAUUUAAUUCGAUUUUAGUUCAAAUCAAUUUAAAUACAUGCAUCAUUCGACUGUCAAUGAUUCAUUAAUUGAAUCUGUGGACGUCGAGUGACAAAUCCAUGGUACCAAACUAAGGCGUCACAUGACUAAUCAUUCCUAUAGGACUUAAGUAAAGUUGAUGUUGGCCGAACGAGAGUAGCGUAUCGAGAGUUCCAUACAUGCCAUGCCCACAUACUAAUUUUACAUCAAAAAAAUAUUUUCAAAUAAUGUAUUCUUUUUAUUAUAUAAAUAAAAUGCAUGUAUGUAUAGAAUUGUUUUAGUGACACUCUACAGAACACGUAAUCCCAGUGAAUCAGUAGGAUCCACGUUUGGUCCCAUUUGGUAACUAUGUUGCAGGUGAGUUGAACCAGAGUCAUUUUAGGGGGGCCCCAAUCUCCUCAAGAUUUGGUGAUGCCGCUCCUAUCAAUUUUGUAAUGCAACAUUCGAUUUAAGCUGCAGCAGAACCCAACUGAAACAACAAACAACGACGACGGUUUAAUUCCCUCACUGUAUCUAUUCAUAUACCAUACACACUAAAUUAAGCCACCAGAUGACAUGAUAUCGUUGUCGGUGUUCGAUUUUGGGAGGGUUUUGGACAAAGCAAAACGAGUGUGGAGGGUUUUGGACAACGGAAGCCGAGGCAUGGAUGCGAUCGCCGAGAGGAGGAGAGAGGAGGGCGGGGGAUUGUACGAGUAAGGAAAGGAGGCGACCAGAUGAGCAAUUCGGGCGUCUGAUAUACCUACCUUCUCUCAUUUUUCUUCUUCGAAUGGCGACGCGCAAUCCUUUCCCGGACGGGAAAACCGUGUUUUUGACGAUCUAUGCUGCGGUUGUUGCCAGCGUCGUAUUUUCUGCUCUUGUCAUUCUCUCCUCCUUCUACACCUCACCCGCUGCCGGCGUCGGCGACGGAGUAACGUCGCUCUUCUCGUUGUCUUCUCCUCCCUCAACAUCUCCUCCUCCUCCAUCGCCGAUAGGUAACUGGUCAAAUACUUCUUCUUUUUCUUCUUCAAUCAGCGCGUUCUUGUUUUUUCGAUGCUGUCUUUAUGUGUGUAUCUUUGUUACGCAAUAUAAGGAUAGUCUUGAUUCUGCUCAUAGCUUUUCUUCUUUUUAUGGUUCAUUGCUCCUCGAUUCCCAAGUGCGCAGAUCUGUUUUGUCCCUCUUCGUAUCAUGCUUUGAGCACCAAUUUGUUCGUCUCUCGGUCUAAGUUUGGUGAUAUGACGGCUUAGGAAUGUUACUAAAGAGUCUCUUCAACAUGCUGAAUUGGCAAAGAAGAAAAUAAAUAUAUGGUCUAGUAAAUGAAUCAAAAAUCACAAAAACUUUGCCUUCACUACUGGCUACAAUUCUAGUUCCAACUGAAGAUGAAAGUCUGCAGGGCACGUAAAAUGUGAGGAAACGGUCGUUUAGUUACUUCUACCGUUUCUGUAACAAAUACUCUUGAAAUACAAGCAUAGAUUUCUGCGAACCCAUGAAUGGAUCUUCAGUGGCUUGAUUGACUAUGUGCUCAAUAAGAAAUCACGUCCCCUGAAAUGUCCCUGUUGUUGCUAAGCAUCACUCUAAAGAGUGAAUGUUCUACAGUUGCCAAUUUUUUGCUUAUUCAAUGGGUUUCAGAUGCUCUUAUGAUCAAGAUAUGUUGUUAAUUUACAAUGAAAAGCACUUGAUUAAAUUAGUACAAAAUUAAUAAUUUCUGCUACCUCUACUUUGAUUGUCACCAUUCUAUUGAAGCUGUUUUGUUGUCAAAAGAAAGGCUGAAGAGGAGCUAUGCUGUAAUUAGAUGUUAGGCUCUUAUUAGAUUUGUUGUAGCAUACUAAUUUUGAAUUAUUAUGCCUUUUCAGUAGCAAUCUGAGUAAACCAAAGAAAGUUUUUUUUUUUUGACAGUAACUAGAACACCUAAGCUGCAAAGAGAGCCUUCNNNNNNNNNNNNNNNNNNNNNNNNNNNNNNNNNNNNNNNNNNNNNNNNNNNNNNNNNNNNNNNNNNNNNNNNNNNNNNNNNNNNNNNNNNNNNNNNNNNNNNNNNNNNNNNNNNNNNNNNNNNNNNNNNNNNNNNNNNNNNNNNNNNNUAUGUGUUUUUGUUUGGAACAGAAUCCACUUCCAUAUUUUGCUCGUUUUCCUGAGGCAGAUUUGUUAACAUCAACCGAUCAUCUUAGACCAACAACAACUGAUGACAGUUUGGAAGUCUGGCAUAAUGGUAUUUUCUACUAAUGUCAAUGAAUCUUGGUAAUAAGUAAUAACCACACUAGCUGGUACAGAUAUAUUAAACAUUCUUGAAUUUUUUUUAAUAUGCCAAGUUGUACUGAUAUAAUAAGAUUGUGGUAUAGGUACCGUUACUUGUAUUAGUAUCUAAAAUGUUGGACCUUAUCACAUACAAAAUUUUUGACCCAGAAUCUUAUUUCCUGUAGCAAAUAUAACCUAAAAAAAUUACUCAGUAGGUCCUAUAUAGUUGAGUGAAUCUUAGUAUUAUCUAAUAUAUCAUCUGAGUUACUUUUUUAGUUGUUAGUGAUAAAGUUUAUUCAAAGAUAUCAAACAAUGUUGCUGAUGUCAGGUUCUAUGAAGGAGCCUAUAAACUAGACUGUAGAAAACUUAGUGUUUAAGUUUGCAUAUGUCCACAUGGCUGACACAUGUUGUAGUGAAAUGACACUUGUUUUGGUGCCAUGCAAAGUGCAAGCGAAAACAUAGUAAGGCUAAUACAGAGCAUCUGCACUUUCGUUUCUUUCCUUAACCCUUUCUUAAGGUUCUUUAAAGUUUUCUUUCAUCAAAAUUUGACUUUGAUAGUUCGAGGAUCAUUAACUAUUAUUUUUCCCUUCUAUUGUUUGUAGUAACUACUGCCUACAAUAUUGGAAUGUUUCACUGGCGUCCCACUGAUUCUGCGAAGAGGCUAGCUAAGGAGUGGAAAGAUUUACUUCUUGGUGAUGAAGAGAAAUGGGACCAGGCUGUCUUUAAUGAUCUUGUCCGCCAUGUUUUAGGACCAUCACUUAAAGGAGAAAGUGGACUUUUUUAUGCUUAUGAUGGGACUCUUAAGGUCGGUCUUUUGCCAGCAAGUAUAUUUUGCAGUGGGCAUACAUACUUUAUCCAGGUAGUUCUUUUCGAUUGUCUUUGUAGCUGUUAAUUCAUUUGCUCAUCCAACUAUGGUUAUUGUAAAGUUUGCGGUAUGUUAUUCUAUGUUUUUAACCAUAUAAUAUAAAUCCUAAGCAACAAUUCUUUUUCUUCUAAUUAUUCUUGGAGCUGUUAUCCUGAUAAAUGGAGAAAAAGUUUUUAGUACCAAUUUAUAAAAACAAGGGUGAUAUAUAAAAUUGUUCAAAUUAUAAAGGAGUUCAAAUCAUGAGCAAUAUUAUGAAACUUUGGAAAAGAGUUAUUGAAAGUAGGAUAUGGUUUGAAACAAAUAUCUCUGAAAAUCAAUUUUGUUUUAUACUUGAAAGAUCAAUCAUAGAAGUUAUUUAUUUAUUAAGAUAAUUAAUGAAAAAGUAUAGGGAGAAAAAAAAAGAUUUGCACAUGAAUUUUAUUGACUCAGAGAAAACCUAUGACAGGGUUUCUAAAGAUAAUUAUAUUGAUGUUAUUAAAGAUAUAUAUGAUAAUAUAGUUAUUAGUGUCAAAACUAUAGGAAGAGUGUCUAGUGAGUUUCCUAUUAGUAUAGGAUUACUUCAAGGAUCUGGUUCAAGUCUUUAUUUUUUCACAUUGAUAAUCGAAGAAUUGACUAGUCGUCUAUCUGAUAGACCUCCAUGAUAUAUAUUAUUUGCUGAUGAUAUUAUCUUAAUUGAUGAGAGCUUAAGUGAAAUUAAUUAUAAGCUUGAGUUGUGGAGGCAAACUUUAGAAUAUAAAGGUUUUAGAUUAUUUAGGACCAAAACUGAAUAUAUAAAAUAUAAUUUUAGUGUUUUGAGAAAUAGAUAAUAGAAUAUAAUUAAAUUGGAUGGACUAGAAUUCCCUCUAAGCAAAAUCUUUAGGUAUCUUAGAUCAAUUAUUUAAUAAGAUGGAUAGAUUGAUGAAGAUAUUAUUUAUAAAGGAAAAACAGAAUGACUAAAAUGGUGAGGGGCAUCAGGAGUCUUAUGUGAUUAUCGGAUACCUUACCAUUAAAAGAAAAAUUUUCUAAGAUAGUUGUGAGACCCACAAUGCUUUAUAGAUAUGAGUAUUGUUGGGAAAUCUUGGGGGCGACAUCACAUGCGCAGCGGAAUAAUAAGAAAACAAAAUCCCCUAUUCCUAAAGAGAUGUUCGUUGUCGUGCGAAGAUUGGUACGUAAAAUCCGUGAAACUUAAAACUGCGUAUAGAGUAGAUUGUGUUACCUAGGGAGAUCGUAUAUCCCUGUUUCCUUGCAGAUCUUUAGGAGAGGGUGAAGGAGGUCAAGCGUCCUCUUCUCUAGCGGUGAUCCACACAGCAGGGCUGUGACUACGCUCCUCAAAACUCCAAGCCUGCUCUAAGGUGGAGAGGGGGAGGAGAAUAGGAGAGGCAAGCAAAGGCUCUAGCUUAUGAGGCUCUUAAUCCCUCCUAUUUAUAGAAGACCCCUGUCAAAACCUAAUGGAUCCUCCCCUAGUGGGUAUUCGAUAUGCAUCCAAUUACCUAAGCCUUUUAGAUUAGUGGAUCUCUAUCCAAUAAUCUCUCAUGGGCUCUUAUUGGAUCUCGUCCAUGGGAUCUAAUAAUUCAGGGGCUUAUUGGAUAUCCAAUAAGACAAGGGCUCCGGCGGAUAUCUCAUAUCCGAACCUCUACUCAUCGCAAUGCCUACCAUAUGUGUGUGACCCUCUAGGCCCAAUAUCGAGCUAGCCAUGAGUCAUACCUGUCAGAACUCCUUUUAACUUAGUGAAUUAUUAUCUCUGUAAUAAUUCACUCGACUCAUCGAUUACGGACGUACUAGGCCACUAUGCCGUAGUCCCCAGACGAUACAGGGGAAUCCAAUCCAUUGGACCUGUCUAUCCUCAGUUAUCGUGUACAUAUAGUCCAUCAUCCAUCUAAUAUCCCAGAGACCGUAUAUCGAGCAUGGUGUUGUCAGACCUAUACGAUUUCUACUCGAGUCUCGCUCUAAUCGGAUUCUCCCGGAGAACUCUUUUUCUCUCAACCCUAAUGACCUUGGCCAGGGAUUUGUUUGAGCAAGAACACAUGGGAUAUUCCUCUCAUGACGCCGAGAGUGGAUGAUCCUCUAUCGACACUCAAUAGCCAUCGUAAGGUCGACUACCACUCCCAAUGACCAACUGUACUAGAUCUGGGACAUCCAAACCUAUAAGUCUGGUAUCAAAGAGUGGAGCACUCAUACAGGACAUUCUUAAUGUCUCAAGUCUAAGGACCAGAUACACCACUAGGACUACGAAAUUGUUGUCUAACAAUAAGGCAUCAUCAACCAUCCAACAUUCCAUAAGCGGAUCAAUCAGUGAACUCAUUCUCCAAUGAGCACCUGUACUGUAUCCCUAGUGUCCCCACACGAGCAGUUAUGAGAUCAGCUACAUCCAUCAUAUAGACGGGUAUAUAGCACACCAGUUUGUCCGGUUAUCACGAUGUCCCUCUCGAGUAACCUAUGACCGGGAUUAUUUAGGAUAUGUGUUUAAAGGUGAAUAGAUCUCAUUAUUGUGAUCUCAUCACGAUCCGAUUCCCAUUGCACGGAUCCAAGGACAUCACAAUAUAUACAUGCAUAUAUGCAAUAAUCAAUAUAAGGUGAUAAAUGUCAAAAUAUAAUAAGUAAAAAGAUUCCGUAUCAAAUCACACGUGCCAUCACUCACGUGAUUGGCUUGCUAGACACCUAUAACUAGCAAGUAUUAGGCAGUCAAGAAUGUUGAGAUGGAUGUGUGGAGUUACUAGAAAAUAUAGAAAAAAAUAUUUUUAUUCGUGAAUAACUAUGUAUUAAAAAUGUUUGUCAAAGGAUAAGAUGAAAGAAAAUCCUUUAAAAUGAUGUGAGCAUAUACUUAAUAGACGUUUGGAUAUGGUUGUCAAAAGAGAUAAAAUAAUUAAUAUUAGUGGUGCAAGGAUUUUUAUAUAUAAAUUUUUACAGACCUCAAUGACAACAAAAGAUUCAUGUAGCUGACCCCAAAUAGUUGGGACUUACAGCUUUAUUGUUAUUGUUGUUCUUGGAGCUGUUAGUUUAUUGUUGCUCAUCUAACUAUGGUUAUUGUAUAGUUUGUUGUAUGGUAUUCUCUCUCUUUAAACCAAAUAAAUGUGAAUGACCAUGCAACAAUUCUUUUAAAUGAACUGGCAGGCAAUGCCCCAGCAACUCAAACUGGAACCAUAUGCUGUGCAUACUACCUUCCAGUUUUCAGGUUCUGAUGGAAAGCGCCAUAGGUUACGUGAGGCUAUGCUUUUCUAUGACCAACCUGCAUAUUACGAUACACCAGGUAUUCUUUCUUCUCAUCUCAUCUGGUAAAAUUCAACUUUUUCCUACUAAGCUAAAUGUCUUUGCUGGUUGACAACUUUUUUUUUUUGUACUUGACUUUUACUGCACAAUUCAAAAGUGAGUUGUAAUAUUGAUAGGUAAUAAGUGAAAAAUAUUUCCCCAAAUACUGAAAACCAGUACUAGUGCUAUGUGAUUUUUGAGAUGCUAGGCUGUGUUGAGUGCUUUAAUUUUUGAGAAAUUAUCUAUUGAAGAGCUUCCAUAAGCUAUAGAUUCAUGUGGAGUAUGCAAGGAAUAAAAUACCGUGUAUCGGACCCCACCAGUCCAAGUCUCGAUCUGACUUGGUUUGGUUUGUACCAGCAUACAGGGCCUAGACUAGUAUGACUCUUGUUGUAUCAGUGUAUCAAUACAUGUUAUGUUGGCGUGUACCAUGAUACUAGAAAAGUACUAAAAAAAUUGAGAAAAAUAAAAGAAAUCUUAAUUUAGGGUUCUUUCUCACAUAUAAAUGAGCCUAGUAUAAUCAAUAUUGAUAACAAUAAAGUGAUCUUAAUAUAGAAUACAAUAAAAAAACCAAAUCGAAACAUAUAUCAAAUAAAAAUUGAAAGUAGUAUAUAAAGAAUACAUAUACCGAGAAGGUGAGAAAGAAAUUCUAACUAACAUGCAAACACAAUAAUUAGAUGUAAAAUGCCAAAAGUAUAUACCUGUACCUACCACAAAUAUGCCAAAAAUUUAUGAGAUUCAUGUAUAUGGACGGUGUUCAUUUUGGAAAGUUCAGUAAUACCCAAUCUUUGGUAUGACUGUAUUUAGUUGAGGUCUGGAGCAAGAACUAGAGCAUCACAAUCAACAAAAUGAUGGUAGAAAAUUCAGCAAACCCUACACAUCCCAGAGUCUAGUGUCUAUCUCAUCAGGCUUGCUUGCUCGGUUGCUGGAUUCUUAUGUUUAAUUCUUCCAAAAACUAUGUUAUGUUGUCUUGCUUGUUAUCCUUCUGACUCGGUUUGUGUCUUUGCAGGAGGUUUCUUAUCAUUCAAACCUGGUAUUCCUAAGAGUUUGUUGCUGGAUGGGCCACAUACCGUACAAUCACACUUCUCAUUGGUUAAUUACCAGGUAAGAUAAUGUUAUAAAAUGUUUGCAUUUCUUAUUGAGAUUUGGAGAGAUGUCCAAGGAAUUAACUGGUCAAGUGACAUUCUUAUUUGCAUGUUUCAGUUGAGGCAGAUAAGAACUGCACUUGCUGUUGCUUCUCUGUUGAACCGAACACUGGUGAGUGAGGUUUCACCAAUUAAAAAAUUAAACUUGAUCUGCUGAGAUUUUGUAAAAGAUAUCUUAUAUGCAUAGUUUAAACUUUAAAGGGAUCUUUUUCCUUGAUAUUCUGGUAAGGUUAUUUUUGAAUUAAAUAGCUUCAGAAGAUAGGAUCUUUCGAAGAUCCCUUCUCUUUUCACAAAUUGUGCACUUUUGAAAACAAUGUAUGUACUUGUCGGCAAAACUUUUUGUCCAUGCAGAUGCUAAUAAACAUUUCAUUAAAGUGUGCAAUUAAUUUAUCAUCUAAUCAAAUUCCAAAUGGCCAUUGAGCUGAGAACCAUUUACUUCUCAAAAUCCUUAUUUUUAAGGAGCUUAUUAUUCAUUAGUUGUUGCUUGAGAAUUGUAAUGUUAAUGGGUGUUGCUUUAACGAAAAUUCAUGGAGUAUCAAAUAAUUGAUUUUUGUGUCUAAUUUUUUAGAUUCUGAUUCCAUCAUAGAAUAAUGAUGGAAGGUCAACUUUGUUCUCAUCACACAACGAGCGUAGUCUUCUGUAGUAUGCAAUAUGAGGCUUGUUAUACAUUAGCAACAUAAAACACACAGAAUUGACACAUUAACAGUUGACAGGACAUUGUUGUGAAAUUAUUAUUCAACGAGCUUGACUGCUGUGGUUGCAAUAAUUCUGACUCAUAUUCCUUGUCUAUGUUUAGGUAAUGCCUCGAUUAUGGUGCAGGUUUGAAAGAUUGUGGUCUGGACAUCUUGGAAUUUUGAAAGGGACACUGACCACGCAACCUUUUGUAUGCCCUAUGGACCACUUGUUUGAGGUAAUUAUAUUUGUUAGAUUAGUGUGUAUAUUGUGCACUCUCUUGCUAGUUUCCUAACACAUUAUCCAUGGAUGGGCAUUUUCCUUCAUUAUCUUUUCUUGUCAUUUACUUGCUAACUUGGAUCAUAAAAUUAUGGGUUUUAUUUGCUCUUUUCCAUUAAGUUCAAAAUUCCAAAGGAUCAGCAAAAUGGUAGGUCGUUUGGGAUGAACCUUAUCUUUGUAUGAAAGCUCGCCCUCAAAUAGCACAUAUACCCGGACUUUAACUAUGAGGAAAAAGUAUUAGCAUGAGUUGUGUGCUUACAAAUAGAUCAAAGUCUUGCAUCUUCAAUUUUAAGAUGAUUGUUUAGAUGGUCUGAAUUAUUUUAUCUUGUUGCUCUUGGCUUACUUGAAUUAUUUGUACCUGCACAUUCUCCAUUAUACUGCAUUGAUAUGGUUAUUAAAAUUCUCAGAACAUUUUGGGAUCUUCCUGCUCAUUCAUGAUGUAUGGAAUCAGAUGUUCCCUGCUGAUGAAUCACUAUGGUUUGGGGGAAUAGACUAAUUUCCGUUUAGCUAGUUUUCAAAGUUUAUGGAUAUAUGCUUUUAGCCUUUAAUCCUGUAAACUUAAUUUCCAUAGUGUUCCAUUUUGCAACUUGCCAUGCACAGUUUUAUCUAGGAAUUCCAAUGAUCUUAAACAAGGUUUUCAAUUUUGGGUAUUGGGCCCAUGCUAGUCUAUGGACAGAUGGUACAAGUCUGGUCUGUUCCAAUGUAUCGCCACAUGGAAUGCCAUUCUGUUGGGGGAGGUGGGGAAGGAGGGGGAGGAGGAAGGAAGUGGUAGGGAGCAUGGUUCGUCAUACCGUGACGUACUGUCCGAUAUGGGCGGUACACUAGUCUGAUAGAGGACCGGUAUAGGUGGUAUAUACCGGUCUAUCAAUAUGUCCCAUCGUAUCGUGUAUCGAUACUUUGAUAUAUACCGUAUCGAUGGCCAAUUGAUACAUCGGUACAGACCGAUAAGACGAACCAUACUAGGGAGAAUAAGAAAGAAGAGGAUGUCAAAGGAAGAGGAAGUCCAUUGAAGAGGAGGAGACAUCAAAGAUGAGAUGGGUGGUAGGGCAAUUGAGCGACAGACAGCAGAGAACAAGAAUUGUCCUAUCUUGACUAUUUGGUGAAUCACUCAAGCAAAUUAAAAUUUUCUACUCGAAGUUUUUGAAAUUAAGUCUAUCAGACUAUCAAACAUGGUUCUUUCCUUGGUUGUCAUAUUUCUUACUUUUGAGAGUUGAAACAAUAUGUAUUCGUGAUACCAAAUAUGACCUUGGCAACAUUAGAUGAGAAGAUCAAGUAUGUUUGAUUAUCAUCAACAUGUCCGAUAGACAAGAGCUUUAGUCUCCUUAAUUCAUGUUUUCUGUAAGUGGACAUUGAAAUGAGUGCUCGCAGAGUAGGAGGAUGGUGUUGAGAGAGAAAAGACAAAUAAUAAUUACUUAAGGUCAGAAUAUGAUAGUGGUAAUAUUGUUUAAUGUGGCUUCUAUCAGUUUAAAUAUAACUUAGAUUAGAGAGGGGCAAGUUGGAAUAAGGGUGAGUCUGAGUAUGGAAAUAAGAUUGCUCCGGUGACAUGGAAGACCAGGUUCAAGUUAUAAGAAAAUACCUCUUUAGAUCUUGGGAUUAGGUUGCAUACAUUAACUCUUUUCAAACCCUGCAUUAGCAGAAGCCUUGUGCACCGGUUUUUUUGGAAUACUAGAAAGCAAGUAGAGGGGCAAGAGUAGCCUUGAUCGGAAGUAAGGGCAUAUUGUUCUUCAAUUAAAAUUUGAACAUACACAUUAUUUCAAGAGCAUCUUCUUUUACAUUUGCAUUUGUUCUAUACUGUGGGCUUGCCAAGAGUUGAAUCAUGAUGAGCUUUCCUGUUACAGAAGGGAUAGAGGUAGUUGGUCUACUAAAUGCCAUACUCCAUAAUUCCAGUAAUUAGAAAUUAUUUUCUUGAUGUUAUUCCCAAGCAGAACUGAUCCUUAGCAUUGAAAUUGAAAUAUUAAUAUGCAUUUACUUUGCUACAAUUAAAUUCUAAGAAAACCUAUGUUGACUAAAUCUCCUUCAAUUGCUCUAAUAUUGCAGGUAGGUCUCUUAGUCCAUGUGGAAACUGGAAAUUAUCUUAUAAAAUUUUAUUUGCCAUGACUUUGCAGUUUGUCAUAUCAUUUUUAACUCACCGGUUCAAAUUAAGUUGAUUGCACAUGCUCAACUUAUUGAUCGUGUACUAUAUUUUCCCAAAACAUUUCAUCCAUUCUCCUUCAACCAAUAGAUUCUUAUACCAAUUUUUGUUCAUUCUUUGAUCAUAGAGUGUGGUUUUAUCUUCUUUAGAUUCGAUAAAAUAGGUAUUCUCUAAUCUCUAUGCUUUAUCCAUUUUUACAUUGCUUUUGCACUUGGAUAAUUUCUUCUUUGCAUUUGGUAAUAAAGAAUAUACUACUCGAUAUACUAGUACUGUAGUGGUCUGAUCAAAUGUUGAAACUUGUAUUGGACCAGUAUUGAAAAUCUUGAUACCGAGUGUAGCAACAAAGAGGAGAUCCAUUAGCAAUCCCAUCUAUAAUCAUUGGGAAUAAAGUUUUUUUAGUCUUUGUUGUCAUUAUUAAUUAAUUAUUUUAAAAGGACAGUCUUUUGCAGUCUGAAUGGAAGUAUAUGCUUGAUUAUAUUGACAGCCUCUCACUGCUCGCUUUUUUCUUCUUCCAUUGCAUGUGAACUGUUUUUGCAUGUUAUAAUUGUUAUGCCUGAUGCCACAUUUUCAAUCAUAUGAUUAGAGUUGAUUCACCUUUGCAGAUUCAUACCAUGGUCCGUGGCCUUUCUGAAGAAGAAUUUGGCCCACAAAUUCAUUUCAGGGAGUACUCGUUCCUGCAGAAUCCAUCAGUGCCCAAACAUGUAAAGAUAUUGUUGUAUCAAUUUGCAAUACUUCGCUGCUCAUACAUAUCUUUCAAUUCAAAUAACUUUUUUUAUUAUGGAUUCAGGUGAAGGAAUCAUUACUUAAUGUUCAACUUUGUGAUGCACAUUCCAAAGGAUGCAAUAUAUCCAAUGAAACAACUAGCCGUGGUUUCAUCCAAUUUCCUAGAAAUAGCACUGAGCAGGUGGUAUGCACAUCUAAUGAUUAAAUUUUUAUUAUUUAAGGGUUUAAGAUCAUAAUAAUGGUGGUAGGAUGAGAUUGUCUAUUCAUUUGGUGAGAGCACAUUUUCUAAUGGUAUCAACUAAGCAAAGUUCAGUCACAAAACUGACCACUCAGUAUUCUAGUCUUGGAACCUUAAACCUUAGACUUUCUAUUGUUGUCCAUAUUCUUUCUAUUGUUGUCCAUAUUCUGUGUUCUUCUUAGGCCUCUUGAUACAAUGCAAGAAAACAGAGCAAAGAACCGGCUUCUCCUUGCAAGCUCUAGAAACAUGUAUUUGUGUUUUUUGUCUUAUAGUUAGUUAAUCAGACAGUCAUGACACAUGAAUCUGAUUAUUUUGUAUUUUUUUUCCGUGAAAUAGGUAAAUGCUUGAAGCAUUUACUGAUGUACUCUAGAAGAGUUCAAAUGCUUUACUAAAUAGUUUGCCAAUUUGUCUUACAGUACAUGCAAGUAUUCUCCCAGUACAAAGAUAUCCAAGUCUUGCACUUUUCAUCCAUGUCAAAUGCGUUCCUAGGGUUCAGUGAUGAGGUAAGCAUUAUCAUAGUUUUUUUGUUGGUGACUAAAAAUUUUAAUUCUAUAUAACUAUUUUGUUCUAGAUGAUAACGUGAUGAGUUGAUUUAGGCAAGGGAAGCAACAUUUAGAAAUCGCGUCAAGAGAUACGUCGGAACAUGGUGUUGCGUGCGGAACCAAAGUCCUAGCCACAUAUACUAUGACAUGUACUGGGAUGAGAAACCAUGAUGGAAAUCUGAACCAUCUCAAACUAUAGAUGAUGAUCAUCCACUUUGAUAAACAGAUUGAAAUAUUAUAUUUUUUUUUGGUAAGUACGAAAUAUUAUAUUUACUUGUCACGAAAGAUCAUCAUCAUCUUAUGACUUUAUACAAACCUCUUGAAAGUGAUACCAUCCUAUAAAUGAGAAUUUUCUGAUAUAUUUUCUUCCCCAAAAGCUUCUCCUCCUUGUAUGGAAUAAAAUUUCAUAGGUUCAGUUUCCUGGUGGAACAAUUUUGAGUGUGCAUUUUCAGCAUUGUGUUUUUAUUUAUUUGUUCUCUCUCUCAGAGAAGUUGACAACUCGAUGUGACACUUUUUUUUGGAACGAUGUGUAUAUUUUAGAUAGACGAGGUUUCUAACAUCCUGUGUUUUGUACUCUCUGUAUAUAUACUAUCAUUCAUUGGUCAUUACAUCCUGCUUUCUCAUGUAAAGACAAUUUUUAACAAUUCAUAUAAAUGAUAUUGUGUCAAAGAAGAGAGACCUUUUUGUAUCUUCAUCAAUCUUAUCUAACACAUUUUUUAGUCAUUAUUAUUAUUAUUAUUAUUAUUAUUAUUAUUAUUAUUAUUAUUUAGUUUCUCAUUUUUUUUAAAGAAAAUUCAUGUGUUGAUUGUUGUUAUAUUUCUUAAUAGAAAUUUAAUUUUUUUAAGAAGAAAAAAAAAAUCCUCCUUUUAGUACUGGAGAAGAAGGGCUCCAUAAUUUAGCAUACCAAUGCUCUAAUACUGAGUCCAGGUAAUGAUCCGAUUCAUCCAUCUCCUAUCACCGGAAGGGCUUAUUAUACGUAUUCUACGAAGUCGGACUCGAGUCAUGUCGCACCGUAAGACACGACUCGAGUCGGGUCAGUAACGCUGCGGCUCGUAGUCACGUGUCUCGUCUAUCGAUGCCUUCCCUUCCUUUGUAUCCGAACAAUCAUAUGGCGAGUGCUUCUCACUCGCUCUUUGGUCUGCUGUUAAGAGGGGUUCGCGACCGCGCGGCUCGUCCGUCGUAUUCCCUCUUUCGGUCGUCGCCUGCCGCUCUCCGCCCCACUUCGUGCCUCCUCGCCCCGAAUCCGAUCCGUCUAUUCCGCGGAACGGUUCAGCCUCGGUCUGAGUCUAGGUCGCAGUCUGAGAUGGAGGAGCUCGUCAGCUACACCUUCGGCCCGUACAAGAUCCACCGUACCGAGGUCUUCCACUCCACCUUGCACUCCUUUGCCAUGGUCAACCUGCGGCCUCUCCUACCGGGUAUGCCUUCCGUUGAUUCCCAUUCUCUCUCAUGUUAUUUUGGAUUGUUGCUACUUAUGAAAUAUUAGGGUUAUGGUCACAAUUGUGGGUAUAGAUUUCGAUAGGUUGUUUAGAGUAAUUUUGGAUGCAUAUCUAUUGAUGCUUCUGUUUAUGCUGAGUUUGGAGAGAUAUAUGAUUACUGUUACUAUUAUCUUCCUUUAUUGUAUUGUUUUUUGUAUGGUUGACGGUCAAUGUGAGGGCUAGCUUAAGCUCUUAUGUUGUGUAAGUCGCUCUUUUGUUUAUGUCUUAGCAAUGUAGGAUUACUUUUAGCCCUAUCUCAAUCUAUAUCUCAAUAUAUCAGGUUUGGUCAUUUCCCCUUCUAUUUUCAAUUUUUGAUUUUAAAUCUUGAUCCUUUCUGGAUCUUUGAUCCUGGUAGGGUCCAUCGACCUAGUCGAUCUUUACUCUACUCAUCUGGAUGUUGAUAAUUUCAAAGGAAUUCAAGUUUGAGUGGGACUAUCUUAAGCCUACCAUACAUGGUGGUUGGACACCAAUACAACCUAAAAACUUAAGUAUAUGACAAUGUGUGUUGCUGAUUCUUCUUUAUCACUUGGCACUUUAGGACUUUUCUAAAUGCUAUCUCAAUCUUAAUCUAUAUUAUCUUGUCUUGUAAUAAUUAAAUCCAUGAUCAUUCCUAGGUCCCAUGCUUGUCCUGUUCAUUCAUAGGUUGCGUUGUUAUUUCCGGUACUCAAUUUCAAUCUAUAAAAUUGCAUCAUUGGACUAAUUUCUCAUGGUCUUGAUUACCCUUGCUACACUACACAUUCCCCUUUGCCUUUCUCCCUUGUCCUUUUAUAGCCAUGAGAUUCUACUUUUGGAAUUACCAAGAAUGCUUACCUUAGGAAUGGAAAAGCAAGUGCAUUCUUUAUAAUACCAAAAUUGGAACUUGCUUUGUCCGGUAUAAUGCAAGUUUCUUUCCUCUUAAGAUCACCUUUUGUGUUAACAAUUCCAAUAUUGUAUCUUCUUCAUCUUUAAAUGCUAACAGAACUGCCAAAGGAUACUUGAGAGUGGGACUUCUAUCUUUCCCAAAUUUCUUAGGUGACUUCAUUUACACAAAGGCACCUAUUGAUGAUUUGGUCCAGGUUAUAAAAUGAUGCAUCAUAAAGAGGGGCAUUCUACUAAGAAAUUCUCUAUUGCAUGCACGAAAAGCUUAUCGUGGACAUUGUUACAUAUAUCAUCUCCAAUAAAUAGGGUGGACGUAGAUAACUUGAAUUUGUAUCAUUACGAAAAGGAAUUUUUGAGAUAAGAACACUUUGAACUGCUUGCAUUUUUGAACCUGCGGCAUACAAGGAAUUUCCCCAUUUGAUGAUUGUUUGAGAGGUUUGAUAUAAAAAUUAAAGUAUGAACAUACAACCUGAUAUUACCUAAAUUUUAUGUAAAUAAAAACUUUUGUGCCUUUACUCAGUUGAAAUUGAUUGCUUGAUUUUUACAACUGAUUGAGCUUUAGGAAAGGUUAGCGACUGCCACUUGAAUCGUACUUUACAUUCCUGGGACUGCUAGUUUAUUAUUGAAGGUUGAUUAUGCUUAUACUAAAAAUGUUUUGUGAAAAACAAAUGCUUUGUGGUACUAGCUUCUCUAACUUGAAGUGCUUUAUCACAUGUUUAUUAAUUCUGUCUUUGACUGAAGCAUAUUGAUCUGAUCAAUUUGAUCAGUUAACCAUAAUUAUUGUUUAACGUUAAAGUUUUUCCCCUUUAAAAGGGUAGGUCUAUGUAGCACAUUCAUUGUAUAGCAAUAGUAUUUACCUUCCAUUCAUGGGCAUACAAAGCAAAUUGUGAGACUCUAUUGUAUAACUAUCUCUUUUAUUAAAGCUUUGCUGCCAUCUUCCCUCAUUUCUGUUGAUUGCUACAUAGAUCUAAUAUACCUUUUCUAAAAUUUUGCAGGUCAUAUCCUUUCGAUGAAGCCACUAAUUCAUCUUAUUGAUAUCAUUUUACUUGAUAUAUGCAUGCGAUAUUCAGUUCCUCUGUUGUGCAUCUAUGUUAAAAUGCACAGAUAUCUUUGGUGGCAUCUUUCUCUCUAUUCACUUCAUCUGUACACUUUUAUUUUGCAUGCAUAAUUUCACCAUAAGUUGAACCUUGACAUUAUCUACAUGUGCUUGUAUGUCCAAGGCGGGAAGUAAAACGUUUUAUUGAUCUCACUGCUGAUGAGGUUUGUGACUUAUGGCUUACUGCCAAGGAAGUUGGUGGUCGUCUUGAGCGUCAUCAUGAAGCAUCUUCACU